Molecule: ribosomal RNA, 252 nt
Filed under: uncultured bacterium
Lineage: Bacteria
Description: partial 16S ribosomal RNA
Rfam family: Bacterial small subunit ribosomal RNA
Source: RNAcentral
UACGGGGGGGCAAGCGUUGUUCGGAAUUACUGGGCGUAAAGGGCUCGUAGGUGGCCAACUAAGUCAGACGUGAAAUCCCCAGGCUUAACCUGGGAACUGCGUCUGAUACUGGAUGGCUUGAAUCCGGGAGAGGGAUGCAGAAUUCCAGGUGUAGCGGUGAAAUGCGUAGAUAUCUGGAGGAACACCGGUGGCGAAGGCGGCAUCCUGGACCGGUAUUGACGCUGAGGCGCGAAAGCCAGGGGAGCAAACGGG